This 253-nucleotide ribosomal RNA is filed under the name uncultured bacterium. Its description in RNAcentral is "partial 16S ribosomal RNA". It matches the Rfam family "Bacterial small subunit ribosomal RNA", at positions 524 to 776 of the family's 1533-position model. The record is from RNAcentral.
UACGGAGGGGGCUAGCGUUGUUCGGAAUUACUGGGCGUAAAGCGCACGUAGGCGGAUCAGCAAGUUAGGGGUGAAAUCCCGGGGCUCAACCCCGGAACUGCCUUUAAGACUGUUGGUCUGGAGUCCGAGAGAGGUGAGUGGAAUUCCGAGUGUAGAGGUGAAAUUCGUAGAUAUUCGGAAGAACACCAGUGGCGAAGGCGACUUACUGGACACAUAUUGACGCUGAGGUGCGAAAGCGUGGGGAGCAAACAGG